RNAcentral lists this transfer RNA (69 nucleotides) under Tragulus napu (Balabac chevrotain). RNAcentral describes it as "tRNA-Asp". The record is from RNAcentral. Lineage: Eukaryota; Metazoa; Chordata; Mammalia; Artiodactyla; Tragulidae.
AAGAGGUAUUAGUAAAAUAUUAUAUAACUUUGUCAAAGUUAAGUUGCAGACUAAAAUCUGCAUAUCUCA